This 459-nucleotide ribosomal RNA is filed under the name uncultured Treponema sp. RNAcentral describes it as "partial 16S ribosomal RNA". It matches the Rfam family "Bacterial small subunit ribosomal RNA", at positions 341 to 792 of the family's 1533-position model. Lineage: Bacteria; Pseudomonadati; Spirochaetota; Spirochaetia; Treponematales; Treponemataceae. The record is from RNAcentral.
ACGGAAGGCAGCAGCUAAGAAUCUUCCGCAAUGGACGAAAGUCUGACGGAGCGACGCCGCGUGGAUGAUGAAGGUCGGAAGAUUGUAAAAUCCUUUUAAGCAUGAAGAAUAAGCGGGACAGGGAAUGGUUCCGUGGUGACGGUAGUGCUUGAAUAAGCAACGGCUAAUUACGUGCCAGCAGCCGCGGUAAUACGUAAGUUGCGAGCGUUGUUCGGAAUUAUUGGGUGUAAAGGGCAUGUAGGCGGAUAUGCAAGCUUGGUGUGAAAUUCCGGGGCUCAACUCCGGAACUGCGUUGAGAACUGCAUAACUAGAGUCACUGAGGGGCAAUCAGAAUUCCUGGUGUAGGGGUGAAAUCCGUAGAUAUCAGGAAGAAUAACAAUGGCGAAGGCAGGUUACCAGCAGAUGACUGACGCUGAGGUGCGAAGGUGCGGGGAGCAAACAGGAUUAGAUACCCUGGUA